RNAcentral lists this ribosomal RNA (657 nucleotides) under uncultured prokaryote. RNAcentral's name for it is "bacterial SSU rRNA". It matches the Rfam family "Bacterial small subunit ribosomal RNA", at positions 524 to 1189 of the family's 1533-position model. The record is from RNAcentral.
UACGGAGGAUCCAAGCGUUAUCCGGAAUCAUUGGGUUUAAAGGGUCCGUAGGCGGUCUUAUAAGUCAGUGGUGAAAGCCCAUCGCUCAACGAUGGAACUGCCAUUGAUACUGUAAGACUUGAAUGCUUAGGAAGUAACUAGAAUAUGUAGUGUAGCGGUGAAAUGCUUAGAUAUUACAUGGAAUACCAAUUGCGAAGGCAGGUUACUACUAAGUGAUUGACGCUGAUGGACGAAAGCGUGGGGAGCGAACAGGAUUAGAUACCCUGGUAGUCCACGCCGUAAACGAUGGAUACUAGCUGUUCGGAGCAAUCUGAGUGGCUAAGCGAAAGUGAUAAGUAUCCCACCUGGGGAGUACGCACGCAAGUGUGAAACUCAAAGGAAUUGACGGGGGCCCGCACAAGCGGUGGAGCAUGUGGUUUAUUCGAUGAUACGCGAGGAACCUUACCAAGGCUUAAAUGUAGAUUGACAGAUUUGGAAACAGAUUUUUCUUCGGACAAUUUACAAGGUGCUGCAUGGUUGUCGUCAGCUCGUGCCGUGAGGUGUCAGGUUAAGUCCUAUAACGAGCGCAACCCCUGUCGUUAGUUGCCAGCGAGUCAUGUCGGGAACUCUAACGAGACUGCCAGUGUAAACUGUGAGGAAGGUGGGGAUGACGUCAAA